This is a long non-coding RNA of Apteryx haastii (Great spotted kiwi), 1588 nucleotides long. Lineage: Eukaryota; Metazoa; Chordata; Aves; Apterygiformes; Apterygidae. The record is from Ensembl.
CUGCACCCCCGGGUGGCAUCGCCGUAACUCCCCGCCGUCCUGCACCCCGGGGUGGCAUCAGCCCGGCUCCCUGCUCUCCUGGACCACGACCCUGCAGCUCCCCGCUGUCCCCCGCCCCGGUGCUUCUGGGUCUGAUCACCCCCGGGACAGUGUUUCCGGGUCUUCUUGUCCCCAAGGAUGGCGCUUCUGGSCUUGCUCAUCCCCUGGCAUGGCAGUUUUGGGUCUGCUCAUCCCCUGGGAUAGYGCCUCUGGGUCUGCUCACCCCCUGGCACGGCGUUUUUGGGUCUGCUUGUCCCCUGGGAUGGUGCUUCUGGGCCUGCUCAUGGCCCAGGGUAGCGUUUCUGGGUCCACUCAUCCCCUGAGAUGGCAUUUUUGGGUCUGCUCAUCCUCCGAGAUGAUGUUUCUGUGUUCGUUCAUCCCCUGGGAUGGCGCCCCUGAGUCUGCUCAUCCCCUAGGAUGGCACCUCCAGGUCUGCUCACGGCCCGGGAUGGCAUUGCCGGGUGGAUCGCGUGCCCGGACCCAGCGCCAGGCCCUCCCGGGCCACAUACCACCACGUGCCGAGGAUGCCAUCCCAGCCGGGCAGCUCUUGGUGCUCCCUUGGCGUCGGUGCCGGCGCCAGCGAGUGCCCACUGUGGGCAGCCCGGGCCCGGUCCUGUGCCACCCUGGAGCGGAGCGGCAUCCCCGGGCAGCAGCGGGGAGCCGGGAUGGCACCAGGCCGCGCGGAGGGCGGCUCUGCCGCACAGAUGUUCGGCUUUGUGCCGGGGGAGGGAUUUGCGCUUUGUUUUUCAACAUUUGCCAUUUUUCUCCRCGGCUUUCUUCUGCUCUGACACUCGGCGAGGGCGGGGGGUUCGUUCUUUCUUUCUUUCUUUCUUUUUUCUCUUUUUCCCCUUUCUCUCUCUCUUUCCGCAAUUGCUUUCUCAGCCCCGGUUCAAACCCUUUUGCGCCGCACAUUAUGCCGGCGUGGCGACCAUCUGGCGCUUUGUUUUGCGGCGAGCCUCGGGACCUUUCUCCCCCUCCUCCUCCUCCUCCUCUUCCUCCUCCUCCCGGGGCCGCUGCUGGCGGCUCGCUAAUCCCAGAAACCCGGCUGCGGGGGGCAAAAUUCCUGGCUCGGUUUGAGCACCGGCUGUUAGCAAAGGCAUCCGGAUUUAUUUAUUUUUCUCUCCCCUUUCGCUCCGUCGCGCGUGCGCCGGGGAAGGAGGCGGCGAAGGAGGCGACGACCCCCCCCUCCCCCCCCCCCCCCCGCCGCAGCGCCGCGCUGCCCUCGGCGGCGUCGCCUGCGCCUCCCGCGCACAAUAGGCGCCUUUGUCGGGCCGGAAACCUCCGCCGGGUCGGCGAAAAGCUGCAUUAGCAAAACGGCCAAACCGGCAGCGAAAAAUAAGCGGGCAGGAAAAGCAGCCGCAGAAGUCAGCGGCCCCAGCGCUCGCUGUCCUGCRCGCCCGCGGGGGCAAGUUGUGCGGGACACGACCCCAAACUUCGCCUUUUUUUGCCUGCACAAAGCAACGGGGAGCGCGGCCAAGCGGCCCGGCUGCUGCGGCUGCUCGGCGNNNNNNNNNNNNNNNNNNNNNNNNNNNNNNNNNNNNNNNNNNNN